CCUACGGGAGGCAGCAGUGAGGAAUAUUGGUCAAUGGCCGGAAGGCUGAACCAGCCAUGCCGCGUGAAGGUCAGUGCCCUAUGGGCGUUAAACUUCUUUUGUGCGGGAGCAAUAGUGGUCACGUGUGGCCAGACGAGAGUACCGGACGAAUAAGCAUCGGCUAACUCCGGGCCAGCAGCCGCGGUAAUACGGGGGAUGCAAGCGUUAUCCGGAUUUAUUGGGGUUAAAGGGUGCGUAGGCUGGGGGGUAAGUCAGCGGGGAAAUGCCCCCGCUCAACGGGGGGAAGUGGCAUUGAUACUGGCUUGCUGGAAUGCGGAUGCCGUGGGAGGAAUGUGUGGUGUAGCGGUGAAAUGCAUAGAUAUCACAAAGAACACCGAUUGCGAAGACAUCUCACGAAUCCGCGAUUGACGCUGAGGCACGAAAGCGUGGGUAUCAAACAGGAUUAGAUACCCUGGUAGUC
Molecule: ribosomal RNA, 460 nt
Filed under: uncultured bacterium
Lineage: Bacteria
Description: partial 16S ribosomal RNA
Rfam family: Bacterial small subunit ribosomal RNA
Source: RNAcentral